GCUGUGGUGGUUCAGUGGAUUGAGCGUCGUCCAUGGACCAAGAGGUCCUGGGUUCGAUUCCCAGUCAUGGCA
RNAcentral lists this transfer RNA (72 nucleotides) under Myotis davidii. It matches the Rfam family "tRNA". From Rfam's summary of the family: Transfer RNA (tRNA) molecules are approximately 80 nucleotides in length. The record is from Rfam by way of RNAcentral. Lineage: Eukaryota; Metazoa; Chordata; Mammalia; Chiroptera; Vespertilionidae.